GGUUGUGUGGUGUAACGGUUAGCACAUGAGAUUUUGAUUCUCGGGACCAGGGUUCGACUCCCUGCACGACCU
RNAcentral lists this transfer RNA (72 nucleotides) under Drepanopeziza brunnea f. sp. 'multigermtubi' MB_m1. RNAcentral describes it as "tRNA-Gln (TTG) (tRNA-Gln-TTG-2-1)". It matches the Rfam family "tRNA". From Rfam's summary of the family: Transfer RNA (tRNA) molecules are approximately 80 nucleotides in length. Their secondary structure includes four short double-helical elements and three loops (D, anti-codon, and T loops). Further hydrogen bonds mediate the characteristic L-shaped molecular structure. tRNAs have two regions of fundamental functional importance: the anti-codon, which is responsible for specific mRNA codon recognition, and the 3' end, to which the tRNAs corresponding amino acid is attached (by aminoacyl-tRNA synthetases). tRNAs cope with the degeneracy of the genetic code in two manners: having more than one tRNA (with a specific anti-codon) for a particular amino acid; and 'wobble' base-pairing, i.e. permitting non-standard base-pairing at the 3rd anti-codon position. The record is from RNAcentral. Lineage: Eukaryota; Fungi; Ascomycota; Leotiomycetes; Helotiales; Drepanopezizaceae.